UCCGUAGGUGAACCUGCGGAAGGAUCAUUACUGAAGUCGCUGGCAGGUUUGUUGCUGGUUCUCCGGAGCAUUGUGCACGCCUUCCACACUUUAUUCAACCACCUGUGCACCUCCUGUAGUCUCUCAGAUGAAUUUUCAGUCUUCGGAUUGGUUGGGAUUGCUGCCUUUCGCAAGAGGGGCUUCAGUCCAAUGUCUGAGGGGCUAUGUUUACAUAUACACUUUAAAAUUACCAGAAUGAAUCACGGUCUUUACAGACCUUAAAACAAAAUACAACUUUCAACAACGGAUCUCUUGGCUCUCGCAUCGAUGAAGAACGCAGCGAAAUGCGAUAAGUAAUGUGAAUUGCAGAUUUCAGUGAAUCAUCGAAUCUUUGAACGCACCUUGCGCUCUUUGGUAUUCCGAAGAGCAUGCCUGUUUGAGUGUCAUUAAAUUCUCAACUCCUCAACGGUUGUCAUGACCGCUGUUGAGCUUGGAUGUGAGGGUUUUGCUGGCUUUCACGAGUCAGCUCCCUUGAAAAUUAUUAGCGCAGCUUCUGCAAGUCGCUUAGUGUGAUAAUCUAUCUACGCUUAUGUGACGCGCAUGAAUGAAGUUUUGUGCUUCUAACCGUCUUCUCUGGAGACAAUAUUUUUUGAACUUGACCUCAAAUCAGGUAGGACUACCCGCUGAACUUAAGCAUAUCAAUAAGCGGAGGA
This 692-nucleotide ribosomal RNA is filed under the name uncultured Pterula. RNAcentral describes it as "eukaryotic LSU rRNA". The stretch from base 272 to 425 matches the Rfam family "5.8S ribosomal RNA". The record is from RNAcentral. Lineage: Eukaryota; Fungi; Basidiomycota; Agaricomycetes; Agaricales; Pterulaceae.